This 85-nucleotide transfer RNA is filed under the name Felis catus (domestic cat). It matches the Rfam family "tRNA". From Rfam's summary of the family: Transfer RNA (tRNA) molecules are approximately 80 nucleotides in length. Their secondary structure includes four short double-helical elements and three loops (D, anti-codon, and T loops). Further hydrogen bonds mediate the characteristic L-shaped molecular structure. tRNAs have two regions of fundamental functional importance: the anti-codon, which is responsible for specific mRNA codon recognition, and the 3' end, to which the tRNAs corresponding amino acid is attached (by aminoacyl-tRNA synthetases). tRNAs cope with the degeneracy of the genetic code in two manners: having more than one tRNA (with a specific anti-codon) for a particular amino acid; and 'wobble' base-pairing, i.e. permitting non-standard base-pairing at the 3rd anti-codon position. RNAcentral also lists the same sequence under 2 other names. The record is from Rfam by way of RNAcentral. Lineage: Eukaryota; Metazoa; Chordata; Mammalia; Carnivora; Felidae.
GCCUGGGUGGCUCAGUCGGUUAAGCGUCCGACUUCGGCUCAGGUCAUGAUCUCGCGGUUCGUGGGUUCGAGCCCCACGUCAGGCU